Molecule: small nuclear RNA, 105 nt
Organism: Sarcophilus harrisii (Tasmanian devil)
Lineage: Eukaryota; Metazoa; Chordata; Mammalia; Dasyuromorphia; Dasyuridae
Source: Ensembl
GUGCUUGCUUUGGCAGCACAUAUAUUAAAAUUAGAAUGAUACCAAGAGAUUAGCAUGAUCCUGUGCAAGGAUUACAUGCAAAUUCAUGAAGCUUUUUAUGUUUUU